AACGAACGCUGGCGGCAUGCCUAACACAUGCAAGUCGAACGAGACCUUCGGGUCUAGGGGCGCACGGGGGCGUAACACGUGGGAAGCUGCCCUUUGCUUCGGAAUAACAGUUAGAAAUGACUGCUAAUACCGGAUGAUGUCGAAAGACCAAAGAUUUAUCGGCAAAGGAUGAGCCCGCGUAGGAUUAGGUAGUUGGUGGGGUAAAGGCCUACCAAGCCGACGAUCCUUAGCUGGUCUGAGAGGAUGAUCAGCCACACUGGGACUGAGACACGGCCCAGACUCCUACGGGAGGCAGCAGUGGGGAAUAUUGGACAAUGGGCGAAAGCCUGAUCCAGCAAUGCCGCGUGAGUGAUGAAGGCCUUAGGGUUGUAAAGCUCUUUUACCAGGGAUGAUAAUGACAGUACCUGGAGAAUAAGCUCCGGCUAACUCCGUG
This 433-nucleotide ribosomal RNA is filed under the name uncultured bacterium. Its description in RNAcentral is "partial 16S ribosomal RNA". It matches the Rfam family "Bacterial small subunit ribosomal RNA", at positions 29 to 507 of the family's 1533-position model. The record is from RNAcentral.